Macaca fascicularis (crab-eating macaque) is the source of this 1663-nucleotide long non-coding RNA. The record is from Ensembl. NCBI's taxonomy places the organism in Eukaryota, Metazoa, Chordata, Mammalia, Primates, Cercopithecidae.
AAUUUAUACCUUGUGACUUAAAAAAAAAAAAAAAAACUUUUUGAAACGAUUUGCCAAAUUUUUUUACAUCUAGGUUUAAGAGCAUCAUGACUAGGAACCUGCAAAAAUAAUUUUAAGUUUAAUUGAAAUUUCUGAUAUUUUGGGCAACCAUCUUAUUAGAGACUAAUUGUAAAUAUCUAAAAAUGUACUAAGCAGAUUAACUAUAGCCUAUGUACAUUGACAGGUAAACUCAGGAUGGGGAGAACAGCAGGAGGAGGCGUUUUGGCCAGGCUGAUCAUUCUGAAGGUUGUUUCUCUCUUGAGUUUUUCUGUGAUAUAAGAUAAAGGUACAUGGCAAGUACUGCAGGUACUAACAGCACACUGGCUAGUGAGACGACAUUUUAAUUUUCAUUCGAAGUGUUGAAAUGGGCGGGAACCUGCUGCCUGUGCCUCCAGGUGUAAUCAGGACUAGAGCAGGGCAGGAAAGCCUGGCGCACAGGCUUGUCCGCCUCAAGCCUGUACAGGAGUGGUGUUUGUCAAACGCAAUCCAGACGCACAAGCCAAGGCAGAGAGAAGGCAUCUGAGGCUCCCGCUGCCUGCCAGGAACACUGUAGUAAGAGGGUGAUGAAAUAUUUCACUUUUCAAAACCGAGGGAGCAGGAAAUUUCUCACCAUCUGCCCACUCCUGACACAUGUAGUCCUAACCCCUGCCACCCUCCCCACCCCCAUCACACCAGCCCAAGACAGAAUCUAAUGGAAGGGGUGAAGAAUAAAACCAAAUUCCAUACGAGGGGAGAUCAGGCCUGUCUUCCUGAGGGUAGAAAGGAAUUGAGUGGGAAAAGACAUUCGAUGUUACAUGAAAACCCUUACAAGGAUACUUUUAUAGAAUAUAUUCACCCCAACGAGAGGAAGUGUGAACUGCUUCCAAGUUCAACAGUUCGAUGUGGCUUUUUGGGCUCUCCUAGAACUGUCCUUCAUGGCCCCUACUCCUUGGUCUCCAUGGUCUACUUCCUGUCUUUUACACCUGUCCCCCUUCCCCCUGCACUACCUAGCAGCAGGCUCUGCUUCCAGCUCUUUCUGUGUCUGAGGGGACCUACCUUGUUCAUCCCUGUUCAUGUUUACAUGUGUGUGUGCACGCAUGUGUGCCUGUGUGAUAGUCAAAUAUAGCUCAACGGAACAGAACAAGCAAUAGAAGAAGAGAAACAGCACAAACAUUACUAUGCAUCUUCUAGUCCCACCAGCUAUGUGUGACUGUUGGCAAAUCCCUUUUCACCCUGCAGUUUUUUCAAAUGUGAAAUGAAGAUAACAAUUAUCACCUCAUAUGACUGUUAUAAAGUACUUGGCACAUGCAAAUUCUUAAGAAAUGUCAGCUGAGGCUGGGCGCGGUGGCUCACGCCUGUAAUCCCAGCACUUUGGGAGGCCGAGGCGGGCAGAUUGCCUGAGCCUAGGAAUUCAAGAGUGGCCUGGGCAACAUGGUGAAACCCCAUCUCUACUAAAAAUACAAAAAAAUUAGCUGGGCGUGGUGGCGGGUGCCUGUAGUCCCAGCUACUCGGGAGGUUGAGGCACAAGAAUCGCUUGAACCCAGGAGGCAGAGGUUGCAGUGAGCCCAAGAUCGCACCACUGCACUCCAGCCUGGGCUACAAAGUGAGACUCGGUCUUAAAAAAAAAAAAAAAAAAAAAAAAAAA